RNAcentral lists this long non-coding RNA (5923 nucleotides) under Populus trichocarpa (black cottonwood). Its description in RNAcentral is "long non-coding RNA (PTRI_LNC001682)". The record is from RNAcentral. Lineage: Eukaryota; Viridiplantae; Streptophyta; Magnoliopsida; Malpighiales; Salicaceae.
UGAUAUGUUCUAUUACCUCCUCUUCCUUCUUUGGUUUGUCACUGCACUACUAGCACACUUCUUCAUCAAAACAUUCUUAAGAUCCCGUAGUCAAAACAACCUCCCACCGAGCCCGCCAGCUCUACCUAUCAUUGGCCACCUCCACCUAAUUGGGUCGGUCCUUGCAAAAUCUUUCCAAACCCUUGCCGUUCGCUAUGGUCCACUCAUGCAGAUCCGUCUAGGGGCAUCAACAUGUGUUGUUGCUUCUAAUGCUGUGGUGGCCAAAGAAAUAUUUAAGACCCAAGAUAUCAAUUUUUCCUCUAGACCUGAAUUUGGCUCCUCCGAAUACUUCAUUUAUAGAGGAUCAAGAUUCGUCACUGCCCAAUAUGGUGAUUAUUGGAGGUUCAUGAAAAAACUAUGCAUGACAAGGCUCCUUUCUGUCCCUCAACUUGAGAAAUUCACCGACAUCCUUGAUGAAGAGAAGGUCAAGCUUGUCGAAUCGGUGAUGGGGUGUGCUAGGGAAGGGAAAUUGUGUGAUUUGAGUGGUGAGUUUACAGCCUUGACAAACAAUACUAUUUGUCGGAUGACAAUGAGCACUCGAUGCUCAGGCAGUAAUAAUGAUGCUGAUAAGAUUGAGCGGUUGGUUAAGACAUGUUUACAGCUUGCAGGGAAGUUAAGUUUAGGGGAUAUUUUGGGUCCUUUCAAGAUUUUUGACUUCUCUGGGAAUGGGAAAAAGCUAGUUGGUGCACUACAAGCCUAUGAUAGGUUAGUGGAGAGGAUAUUCAAGGAGCAUGAAGAGAAGGCAGAUAAAGGUUUCAAGGAAGGGGAGAGGAAGGAUUUGAUGGACAUAUUGUUGGAGAUAUAUAAUGAUCCAACUGCUGAAAUUAAAUUAUCUAAAAAUGACAUCAAGUCCUUUUUGCUUGUAAGUUCCUUCUCUUUACCUUCUACAAAUUAAUACAUGUGGAUCUCUUGCAUAUUUCUUCAAUUAUUGGCAUCGCUAACAUCUAUAAUAUGUGUUUAAUUAGGACUUAUUCUUUGCCGGGACAGACACAUCAGCAACAGCCAUGCAAUGGGCCAUGGGAGAGCUCAUCAACAAUCCCAAGGCAUUCAAGAGGCUUAGAGAUGAGAUCAACACAGUUGUUGGGCCUAAUAGACUUGUUAAGGAAUCAGAUGUCCCAAACCUCCCUUACCUUAAAGCAGUCAUGAGAGAAACACUAAGACUUCACCCUUCAGCACCUUUAAUCAUCAGAGAAUGCGCUGAAGAUUGCAAGGUCAACGGCUCUGUCGUUAAGGCCAAGACAAGAGUUCUUGUCAAUGUCUAUGCAGUCAUGAGGGACCCGGAAUCAUGGGCUAAUCCCGACGAAUUCAUGCCUGAAAGGUUUUUGGAGAGCUCCGAGGAGAAAAUUGGCGAGCAUCAGAUGGAAUUCAAGGGUCAAAAUUUCCGGUUCCUUCCAUUUGGGAGUGGAAGAAGAGGAUGCCCUGGUGCAUCCCUUGCUAUGAUGAUCAUGCAUGCUGCAGUAGGGGCCUUGGUUCAGUGCUUUGAUUGGAAAAUCAAGGAUGGGAAGGAGGUGGAUUUAACCUUAGGACCUGGCUUUGCAGCAGAAAUGGCUCAUCCACUCGUGUGCUACCCUAUUAAGCACAUGAACGCAUAUUAGGAGAGCCACCAUGGAACUCUCAUCGAUCGAUCAUUUACUUCUUUGUUUAGUAAGGUGUGCCUAUAUAUGUACUUUGAAAGUCCUUAGGUUUGGUUGUUUUAGGAACAUGCAAGUACGUACUUCCCUCUAUCAGUACCUGGGACAAAGUUAUGAUUUGAAAUAUAAAUUGAAAUAAAUUAAUGUAUGUGUAUUUUACCUUGUGCACACCUUAAUUUGUCUUAUAUCUUUGUUGUUGUAAAAUUUAAUGAUAUUGAAACUCUAACUACCAAUACUUAAUCAAUUAGAUUGAGAUAGAUAUAAGAAAAAUAAUUAUAUAUAAUUCCACAGAAAAUGAUAAAAUUAAUAUUUUCACAUAUUAAAUUUUUUUAUUUUUAUUCUCUCCUGUUUUUCUUUCUUGUUUCUCAUGUUUAUAUCCAUAAUGCUUGGUAGAAUUCCAAAUCAAUAUAUAAUUACUGCAAAGUAUUUUUUUUCAACAAAUUCGGAAACAUAAUGAGGAAAAAUAACUCAAUUUUAUGAAUUAUUUUAAAUAAAAUAAAUAGUAAUAAAAAGGAACUGAAUUUGAAGAAAAACUAAAUUGAAAGGAUUUUUUAAAAAUUUACAGGAGAGAGAAAGCAAGAAAAAAAAAUAUUAUAUAUACUAAGACAGCAUAAUUGAUAAUUUAAAUUUCUGAAUUACGUUGACCUGAUCUCAUUGUUAAAAAUAUUGUAUUAAGAACUCCUUUUUGCAAGCAAAAUUAUUGGUACUUUAUCAGCAGUUUAAUUAUCAACCCAUGCUAUAUGGCUUUGGCAAAGUAAGGGUCAAGCAAAUCCAUAAGGCCUAGCUACAGGGCAUCAAACACUGCGAGUCAAUGGCGUUGAUGUAAAGUCAAAGCUAGCUACAAGCCUAGCUUGUAGCUAGCUAGUCAACGCCUAUUCGAAUCUCGAUGACGAUGAGGGACAUAACACGUGGAUUUUUGAGUUUUUUAAGAUAUGUUUAUAUCUUGUUUAUUUUUACAUUUUAAAAAUAUAUUUUUUAAAAGUUUAUUAUUAUUUUUAUUUCAAAUUAAUUUUAUUUAGUGUUUUCAGAUCGUUUUGAUGUACUGAUAUCAAAAAUAUUUUUUUAGAACAAAAAAAAAAUUAUUUUGAUGUAUUUCCGAACAAAAAAUACUUGAAAAAACAACCGCUAUUAUACUCUUAAAUACCUAAAUUUAAAUUUCUAAUGUAAUCAUGGGGGGAUCUUGAUGAUCAACAUGAAAUAAUGAAAAUGCAUCAAACUAUUAUCACAUUGCUUUAUACAAGGGCAUUGAUCUAUCAGAUAUAUAUGCUAGCUAGAAACACUUUAUAUUUGGUUGAUCAAAGCUCGAUUGCAUGUAAAGUAAAUGAUGGGCAAUCUACCGGGAAAACAAAAUGUAAUGAUAUUGGCAAAUAUAUAGUUGUAAGUGUUUGCUUCUUGAAGUGCGUUAAUGCAUGUGAGCAUGUGCUGCACUUGCAAGUAAUUAGUACUAAUUAAUAUAAUCAUGUAAGUUUAUCAAUAUUAUAAAUAGUAAAAGUUCAAUGGUUUGAAUUGGGGGUUUGUAGACGAAAGAAUUCAUGCAAGCAAUUGUAUAUGUACAAUCUUAAGCACUAGAUUGAAAAUCACAAUAAAAACCUCUUCCAUUUGUGUAAAUGUUAUAAAACUUGCUGCUCAUGGCCACUGAUAUUGAUCAUGGUUUUGCAUAUUAUUGCUACCUUGGCAGCAGUUGGAUCGCCAUUAUCCUUGUGGUGCAACUCUUCAUCAAAACAUGCACCAGCUUUUGCACCAAGACUCGCCACCCACCAAGCCCUCCAGCCCUACCCAUCAUUGGCCAUCUUCACCUUUUAAGCUCAAGGCUACCAAGCUCCCUCAAAACACUUGCUAGCCAAUAUGGCCCCCUCAUGCUAAUACGUUUUGGAUCAACACCUAUUUUUGUUGUGUCCGAUGCCAAAACAGCCAAGGAGAUACUGAAAAUCCAUGAUGUUGAUUUUGCCUCUAAGUAUACACUCGCUUUUGGCCUCUCAAGAUUUGACAUUUAUGAUGGAUAUACUUUUUUCAAUGCCGAGUAUGGCACAUAUUGGCGGUUCAUGAAGAAGCUAUGCAUGACCAAACUAUUCGCUGGCACGCAACUGGAUCGAUUCAUCCAUAUCCGAGAGCAAGAGACGUUGAAGCUUCUAAAAUCACUGGUGGAAAGGUCAAGAGAGGGGAAGCCAUGUGAUUUAGGCGAGGAGCUUUCAGUCUUCUCGAGUAAUAUAAUUUGUAGAAUGGCAAUUGGCAAGAGAUGCAUGGAAAACCCUAAUUUACCUAUAGACAUAAGGGAGGUGGUAGGGGAUAUAAUGAAAAAUGCAGCAAAGUUUAGUUUCAAUGGAGUUUUUGGUCCUUUAAGCAGAUUUGACUUUUUAGGAAAAGGGAAAAGGCUCGUUUCAGCGACUUGGAAGUAUGACCGGCUAAUGGAGCAGCUGAUGAAGAAAUAUGAAGAAAAGGUUGAGUUGAUCAACGGUGGUGACGAAGGGGAGAAAGACGUGAUGGACAUUUUAAUGGAGACGUAUAAAGACACAAAUUCUGAAUUGAAGUUAACAAGGAGGCACAUAAAAAAAUUCUUCCUGGUGAGUUCUUUAAUCUUAAUGGUUUCGCUGAGUGCAGAGUUUUGUUAUUAUUAUUAUUUUUUUUUUUUUGAACUUUCCUAUUUAAAGUUUGAAAAAUUUAAAAAUAUUAUAUUAUUUGUUGAUUAUAUCAAAUUUAACCUUAAACUUUUGAUAUAUAUAUAUAUAUAUAUAUAUAUAUAUAUAUAUAUAUAUAUUGUUUUGAAUAUUUAUUUUUCAAUUUCAUCCCUUAGAAUUUAAUUUUUAUAUUAAUUUUGGUCCUCAUUUUUAUAAUUGUUAUUUGCUUUUCACUUAUUAUUUUUUAAUUGAAAUUUUUUAUCUAUCAAAUUUGGUCCCUAUUCUUUUGAUUGGUACUUAUUUUAUUUGGAAUAAUUUAUGAAAUGUUAAUUAUUAUUAUUUUAAUUUCUUUAUCUUUCAAUUUUUUUAUUUUUUAGAUUUGAUCUCUAUUAUUUUGAUUAUUAUUUAUUUUAUUUGAGAUAAUUUAUGAAAUUAUAUUUUUUUUUCAAUUUCAUUCUCAUUCAACUUUUUAAUUUGUAAGAUUUGUUCCUUAUUAUUUUAAUAAACUUGAAAAAAUAAAACAUUAAUAAAUUAUUUUUCAGCUCAUUUUACAUGACAUAACCAAACACUGAAAAAAAAAUAAAAUAUUAAUAAAUUAUUUUCAGCUCAUUUUCCAUGACAUAACCAAACACUGGAAAAUGUUUUCCAACUUAUUUUUCAUUACACUACCAAACAUUAGAAAAUAAUUUACUUUUUUAAAAUUUAUUUUUUAAAAUUUUUUUUUUCCAACAAACAAACAAAAAAGAAAAGAAUCAUUGCCCAAACUUUCCAGUGACCUCUCUAAUUUUGGAAAUCUACACUGACAAAUAAAGUGCUGUCUAAGUUUGUUUUUUUCUUAAUCGGCCAACCAUUAAGAGAAUAAUCAAGAUUUAAUAAUUGGCCCUCCAGUCAUCGUAGAGGACAGUCCCCGAAGAUUAAUGUCCAUAAUGAGAAAGGCGGACCACAAGAUGUCCUUUUGAUGAGAAAAGCGGACCACAAAAUGUAUCAUGCCACCUUCAGUAAUGUGCAAAGGGCGACGAAUUCCAUUUUAAGAUUUCGCAAUCAGAUUUUGGUAUAACAAAUCCCAUAUUUUUUUUAUCAAAACCCAAGAUAGCGAUCCCAUAUUUAAUUUUCAAGCCAUCCCAACAAAAUAAUAAAAGAUAUUAUUAUUAUUAAAAAAUAAUAAAAGAUAUUAAUUUAAUAUAUUUUAGUGUAUGUAUACACCGGGGAUUUAACAUCUCGCAGCUCAACUGACAUGUAUAUUUUUUUUUUGGCUGGCGAACUACAACAAAAACAAUAAUAUAUAAGAGUCAAGUGCAUGCAAUUUCUCUAUAUAAGCACAUCAUAAACUUUCAUUACUUACAAGUGUAAAACCCAAGAGAAAACCUCAAUCCAAACUAGCUAUAGCUACAACUGAUAUGUUCUAUUACCUCAUCUUCCUUCUUUGGUUUGUCACUGCGCUACUAGCACACUUCUUCAUCAAAAUAUUCUUAAGAUCCCGUAGUCAAAACAACCUCCCACCGAGCCCGCCAGCUCUACCUGUCAUUGGCCACCUACACCUAAUUGGGUCGGUCCUUGCAAAAUCUUUCCAAACCCUUGCCGUUCGUUAUGGUCCACUCAUGCAGAUUCGUCUAGGGGCAUCAACAUGUGUUGUUGCUU